Molecule: ribosomal RNA, 497 nt
Filed under: uncultured bacterium
Lineage: Bacteria
Description: partial 16S ribosomal RNA
Rfam family: Bacterial small subunit ribosomal RNA
Source: RNAcentral
GAUGAACGCUGGCGGCGUGCCUAAUACAUGCAAGUCGAGCGAACAGAUGAGGAGCUUGCUCCUCUGACGUUAGCGGCGGACGGGUGAGUAACACGUGGAUAACCUACCUAUAAGACUGGGAUAACUUCGGGAAACCGGAGCUAAUACCGGAUAAUAUAUUGAACCGCAUGGUUCAAUAGUGAAAGACGGUUUUGCUGUCACUUAUAGAUGGAUCCGCGCCGCAUUAGCUAGUUGGUAAGGUAACGGCUUACCAAGGCAACGAUGCGUAGCCGACCUGAGCGGGUGAUCGGCCACACUGGAACUGGAACACGGUCCAGACUCCUACGGGAGGCAGCAGUAGGGAAUCUUCCGCAAUGGGCGAAAGCCUGACGGAGCAGCGGCGCGUGAGUGAUGAAGGUCUUCGGAUCGUAAAACUCUGUUAUUAGGUAAGAACAAAUGUGUAAGUAACUAUGCACGUCUUGACGGUACCUAAUCAGAAAGCCACGGCUAACUACGUG